UCAGACAGCAUAAAGUGUGUGAGCACGCAUCCUCACAUUUGUCCGUGCCCGUAACCUGGGCUUUUUUUAGUAGCAGUUGUAAUCUGAAGAACACACAGGACAACGGUGCUGUACAGUAAACUUGGCUGAACUUGUCUGAGCAUGAGCCUUUUGCGAACCAUUGUCCCGCACUUAGCCCAUUUCAUAAAUCUGGGCUCUCCAGAAGAAAAAUUCCAGCACCUGUUGGUCCUCAUCUCCAAGGAAACUGUAGCUGCUCCCCUUUGUGGACUCCAUGGUGUGUCUCAUCACACAAAGUGUAACAGCAGAACUCCUUCACAAGCAGGUUAAGCAGCAUCUUUGAAUGUAUUCUUUCAGCAAACGUUCAUCUUAAACAGCAAAACUUUAUUAUAUGCACAGCAUUCUGUUAAAAACCAGAAAAUAAUUUUUAAAAAACUGGUUUCUGACAAAAAAUUAAGGUUUAUUUUAUUCUGUUUCUCUCUUCUUUUUUUUUUCUUUAACAGUUUUCCACUUAUUUUCAUCAAUUUGAGGAGACAACUUAGGACUGUUAGGAAUGGCCAAAUGAAAAGCAAAUGCAUUUAUUUCCAAGGUUUGUCUUACACCUAGAGUAUUGAAUCUUGACAAGAAGACAGAAAAAACGGUUUUAAAGUGUUCAUUUUUUCUGUUUAUAGACUGCAUAGGAGUUGCACCCUCACCCUCAUGCUGUAGAACAUGCUGCUGCAGCUGUACUGAAGCAUUUCCCUGACACGAAUACCAGAACUCCCUUUAAAUCAGAACAGAUCCAACAGGCCAUUGGGCCAGAGGCUGCACCAUCAGCAUGAGAAGAGCCGCCAUCGGGGAGCGCUAUGAAAGCAAGACCUCUUGUGACUUCAGACCAAGCCUUUGUGAGAGUUCAGGGGAUCUGAGAUGGCUGACACAUUCACACGGACAUCCAUCCGGCUCCUGCUGACCAACCAAACCACCAAAACGCUCUCAAUCAUGUCCCUGGAGACAACGUCACAAAUGUGAGACAGUGGAUCUGUGCAGACGCCUCAGCCACAAGACAUACAGGGACAUCUAUCAAGAGUUUAUCAUCCGAGACCUUUCAAACGUCAUGAUGAUGAGCAGUGGUUCCUGUAAAAAUGAAAAAAAUUAAAUAGAUAUGAAAUACGCA
Molecule: non-coding RNA, 1150 nt
Organism: Oryzias latipes (Japanese medaka)
Lineage: Eukaryota; Metazoa; Chordata; Actinopteri; Beloniformes; Adrianichthyidae
Source: RefSeq, a predicted model, not a curated record